Long non-coding RNA from Homo sapiens (human), 7881 nucleotides. RefSeq annotates it as TMEM150C antisense RNA 1. NCBI's taxonomy places the organism in Eukaryota, Metazoa, Chordata, Mammalia, Primates, Hominidae. The record is from RefSeq and is a predicted model, not a curated record. The transcript is spliced from 3 exons.
UCCCAAAGUGCUGGGAUUAUAGGCAUGAGCCACCGUGCCGGGCCAAGUAGUUUUAAACAGUCAAGUUAUAAAACAAUGACUGGUUAGAGUUUAACUCUGCCUACAUCUUAGCAGAAGAAACAAUGGCUGAUUAGAGUUUGUGCCUACAUCUUAGCAGAAUUCAGGGCCCUAUCACAUUUCUAAGCUUGAGGCCUUUGGUUAGUUUUACAAAAGCAGUUUUGGUCCUGAGCAAGGAGGGGGUUAGUUAUGAGAAGGAACUAUUUUCAUUUUUGUUUUAACAUUAAACUAUAAAUUCGUAGGCCAGGCACGGUGGCUCACACCUGUAAUCCCAGCACUUUGGGAGGCCAAGGUGGGAGGAUCACUCAAGACCAGGAGUUCAAGACCAGCCUGGGUAAUAUGAUGAAACCCCAUCUAUCAAAACAAAAGAAAACAAAACAAAAAUUAGCUGGGCAUGGUGGUUAUGUGCCUGUAGUCCCAGCUACUCAGGAGGCUGAGACAGUAGGAUUGCUUGAGGUUGGGAGGUCGAAGCUGCAGUGAGCCAUGAGUGUGUCACUGCACUCCAGCCUGGGUGACAGAGUGAAACCCUGUCUCAAAAAAUAAAAAUAAAAGUAAAUACAAAAUUCCUCCUAUAGUUAGCCUGGAAUGAGCAAAGACAGCUUGUGAGGUUAGAAGGAAGAUGGAGUCAGUUAUGUUAGAUUUCCCUCACUCAUAAUUUUUGCAAAAGUAGUUAGUCUUUCUUGAUUAAGUCCUCCUGGUUGCUGUAAGCUUUUGCUUAGGUUCUAGAAUUCUAAAAAAGUUGAUUCUGGCAGUUUUUGCCAGUUUAUUUAUUGCUUUUUUGGAGGGACUUUUGAUGUUCCUUAUUCUUCCCUGUUCAUGGAUGUCACCCCUACAUGCUUUUCUUACAAUGUGACUUUUGCAGUCCUCUCACCAAGAGGUGGGGCCUAUGUUCCAUUCUAUGAGACUGGGUGGGACUUACGACUGCUCCAACCAAACAAGGACAACAGAGGCCAUGGUUUGUAACUUUCUAAGCUAGGUUAUGAUACAGCUUCUAGCUGACUCACUUUUUUCAAGAGCUGGGGUUAGACAAUUGCUCUGGGGAAGUCAGCUACCACACUGUGAGAAGCCCAGAUUCACCCAUAUGGAGAAAAACUAAGGCCUCAAGCUGACAGCCAGCCUUGACCUCCAGACACAAGAAUAGGCUGGUCUUCAGAUGCUUCCAGCGUCCAGCCUUCAAGCUCUCUAGUAGAGACCCCAGACUUCAGAGAAAAGCUGUCCCUGCUGUGCCCUGUCUGAAUUCCUGACCCACAGAAUCUAUGGGAAAUGUUCCCCCUAAGGCAAAAACACCCCUAAGAUGUAUUCUGGAGAAUUGGGACCAAUUUGACCCUCAGAUGCUAAGAAAGAAGUGACUUAUAUUCUUCUGCAGUACCGCCUGGCCAUGAUAUCCUCUUCAAGGGAGAGAAACCUGGCCUCCUCAGGGAAGUAUAAAUUAUAACACCAUCUUACAGCUAGACCUCUUUUGUAGAAAAGAAGGCAAAUGGAGUGAAGUGCCAUAUGUACAAACUUUCUUUUCAUUAAGAGACAACUCGCAAUUAUGUAAAAAGUGUGAUUUAUGCCCUACAGGAAGCCCUCAGAGUCUACCUCCCUAUCUACCUCCUUACCCCGGCAUCCCCCCGCCCCCCCACUCCUUCCUCAACUAAUAAGGACCCCCCCUUCAACCCAAACUAUCCAAAAGGAGAUAGACAAAGGGGCAAACAAUGAACCAAAGAGUGCCAAUAUUCCCUGAUUAUGCCCCCUCCAAGCGGUGGGAGGAGGAGAAUUUGGCCCAGCCAGAGUGCAUGUACCUUUUUCUCUCUCAGACUUUAAAAUAGACCUAGGUAAAUUCUCAGAUAACCCUGAUGGCUAUAUUGAUGUUUUACAAGGGUUAGGACAAUCCUUUGAUCUGACAUGGAGAGAUAUGAUGUUACUGCUAAAUCAGACACUAACCCCAAAUGAGAGAAGUGCCGCCAUAAACUGCAGCCCGAGAGUUUGGUGAUCUCUGGUAUCUCAGUCAGGUCAAUGAUAGGAUAGCAACAGAGGAAAGAGAACGAUUCCCCACAGGCCAGCAGGCAGUUCCCAGUGUAGACCCUCACUGGGACACAGAAUCAGAACAUGGAGAUUGGUGCCGCAGACAUUUACUAACUUGCGUGCUAGAAGGACUAAGGAAAACUAGGAAGAAGCCUAUGAAUUAUUCAAUGAUGUCCACUAUAACACAGGGAAAGGAAGAAAAUCCUACUGCCUUUCUGGAGAGACUAAGGGAGGCAUUGAGAAAGCAUACCUCUCUGUCACCUGUCUCUAUUGAAGGCCAACUAAUCUUAAAGGAUAAGUUUGUCACUCAGCCAGCUGCAGACAUUAGAAAAAAACUUCAAAAGUCCGCCUUAGGCCCAGAGCAAAACUUAGAAACCCUAUUGAACUUGGCAACCUCGGUUUUUUAUAAUAGAAUCAGGAGGAGCAGGUGGAACGUGGUAAACGAGAUUAAAAAAAGGCCACCGCUUUAGUCAUGGCCCUCAGGCAAGCGGACUUUGGAGCCUCUGGAAAAGGGAAAAGCUGGGCAAAUCGAAUGCCUAAUAAGGCUUGCUUCCAGUGCGCUCUACAAGGACACUUUAAAAGAGAUUGUCCAAAUAGAAAUAAGCCGCCCCCUCGUCCAUGCCCCUUAUGUCAGGGGAAUCACUGGAAGGUCCACUGCCCCAGGGGACGAAGGUCCUCUGAGUCAGAAGCCACUAACCAGAUGAUCCAGCAGCAGGACUGAGGGUGCCCAGGGCAAGUGCCAGCCCAUGCCAUCACCCUCUCAGAGCCCCAGGUAUGCUUGACCAUUGAGGGCCAGGAAGUUAACUGUCUCCUGGACACUGGCACAGCCUUCUCAGUUUUACUCUCCUGUCCCGGACAACUGUCCUCCAGAUCUGUCACUAUCCGAGGGGUCCUAGGACGGCCAGUCACUAGAUACUUCCCCCAGCCACUAAGUUGUGACUGAAGACCUUUACUCUUUUCACAUGCCUUUCUAAUUAUGCCUGAAAGCCCCACUCCCUUGUUAGGGAGAGACAUUCUAGCAAAAGCAGGGGCCAUUAUACACCUGAACGUAGGAGAAGGAACACCUGUUUGUUGUCCCCUGCUUGAGGAAGGAAUUAAUCCUAAAGUCUGGGCAACAGAAGGACAAUAUGGAUGAGCAAAGAAUGCCCAUCCUGUUCAAGUUAAACUAAAGGAUUCCACCUCCUUUCCCUACCAAAGGCAGUACCCCCUUAGACCCGAGGCCCAACAAGGACUCCAAAAGAUUGUUAAGGACCUCUUGUUUCCAAUCUGGAGAUAAUCCAUACCCCAAACCUCACCUGUGUAAAUGUUAGCAAUUCUAUAGACACAACCAACUCCCAAUGCAUCAGGUGGGUAACUCCUCCCACACAAAUGGUCUGCCUACCCUCAGGAAUAUUUUUUGUCUGUAGUACCUCAGCCUAUCAUUGUUUAAAUGGCUCUUCAGAAUCUAUGUGCUUCCUCUCAUUCUUAGUGCCCCCAUGACCAUCUACACAGAACAAGAUUUAUACAAUUAUGUUGUACCUAAGCCCUGCACCAAAAGAGUACCCAUUCUUCCUUUUGUUACCGGAGCAGGAGUGCUAGGCAGACUAGGUACUGGCAUUGGUGGUAUCACAACCUCUACUCAGUUCUACUAUAAACUAUCUCAAGAACUAAAUGGUGACAUGGAAUGGGUCGCCAACUCACCAGUCACCUUGCAAGAUCAACUUAACUUCCUAGCAGCAGUAGUCCUUCAAAAUCAAAGAGUUUUAGACUUGCUAACUGCCGAAAGAGGGGAAACCUGUUUAUUUUUAGGGGAAGAAUGCUCUUAUUAUGUUAAUCAAUCCGGAAUCGUCACCGAGAAAGUUAAAGAAAUUCGAGAUCGAAUACAACGUAGAGCAGAGGAGCUUCAAAACACCAGACCCUGGGACCUCCUCAGCCAAUGGGUGUCCUGGAUUCUUCCUUUCUUAGGACCUCUAGCAGUUAUAAUAUUGUUACUUCUCUUUGGACCCUGCAUCUUUAACCUGCUUGUUAAGUUUGUCUCUUCCAGAAUUGAAGCUGUAAAGCUACAAAUGAUUCUUCAAAUGGAGCCCCAGAGGCAGUCCAUGACUAAAAUCUACUGCGGACCCUUAGACCGGCCUGCCAGCCCAUGCUCCAAUGUUGAUGACAUCCAAGGUCUGUGUUUGUUCCGGUUCGAACUGAGCUUUCGCUCGCCAUCCACCACUGCUGAUUGCUGUCGUCGCAGAUGCCGCCGCUGACUUCCACCCCUCCGGAUCCGGCAGGAUGUCCACUGCACUUCUGAUCCAGUGAGGCAGCGCCCACUGCUGCUCCCAAUCAGGCUAGAGGCUCACCAUUGUUCCUGCGUCAGCUAAGUGCCUGGGGUUCAUCCUAAUCAAACUGAAGAGAGCUAUAACACUCAUUGCAUGGCCCAAGAUUCCAUUCCUUGGAAUCCGUGAGGCCAAGAACCCCAGGUCAGAGAACAAGAGGCUUGCUGCCAUCUUGGAAGUGGCCUGCCACCAUCUUGGGAGCUUUAAGAACAAGGACCCCCCAGUAACACCAUGAUUCAAUUACCUCCCACUGGGUCCCUCCCAUGACACAUGGGAGUUAUGGGAACUACAGUUCAAGAUGAGAUUUGGGUGGAAACACAGCCAGACCAUAUAAGGCCUGUGGCCACAGCAUGUCUGACUGUUGGAAGAACACAAGGAGGCAGAGGGACGAACAGAGAGAAGGAAAGGUGUAAAGGCAGACCUUGUUAGGCCUUGUAAAGCAUUUUAAUGAUUGGGGUUUUUAGUCUGAGUACAAGGAGUUCUGAGUGCUGAGUGAUGAGUGCUGAAGGGUUUUAAGCAGAAGAGAGAUGACGAUGUAAGCUUUUUUUUUUUUUUUUUUUUAAGACAGGGUCUCACUCUGUUGCCCAGGCUACAGUGCAGUGGCACAAUCUCAGGGCCCCCUGCAGCCUUGACCUCCCAGGCUCAGGUGAUCUUCCCUCCUCAGCCUCCUGGGUAGCUGGGACUACAGGUGUGUGCCACCAUGCCUGGCUAAUUUCUUGUAGAGUCAGGGUAUCACCAUGUUGCCCAGGCUGGUCUUGAACUUCUGGGCUCAAGUGAUCCUCCCUCCUGGGCCUCCCAAAGUGCUGGGAUUACAGGCAUGAGCCACGUCAGGCCUAAUUUAGCUUUUAGAGAGAUCAUUUUGACUUCUGUAUUAAGGACACACCUUAGCAAAUGAUGGAAGAAGAGAGACUAAUUUUUAUAAGUUAUUAUAAAAAUCCAGGAGAGAUAGCAGUGGUUUGGACUAGAUAGUGGCAGUGGAUGAAUUCUAGUAUACUUUAAAGGUAGAGCAGAAAGGAUUUGGGGUGUGCGAGAGAGAAGAGAUGAGGAUUGCUCCAAAAUUUCAGUGUGAGCAACUGAAAGACGGGUUGUCUCUAACUUGGGUGGAAGGAAUGCAUUUAAAGAGAUUAGAUCAGAAUGUGUUAAACUUGGGAAGCCUUUCAAGUGAAGAUGCUAUAAGGGUAGUUGAAGACACAGAUCUAUGGUAUUGAGGAUAGAGGUCUGGCCUGGAGCACCUGGGAAAUGUCAGCCCAUGGCAAUAUUUAAAACUGGAAUACCGGACAAGGUCACUCAGAGAGUGAGUGUGGGUAGGAAAGACGAGUUGCCAGGACGGAGCCAUGGGGUACUCCAGUGUUGGGAUGGCAGGGAGAAUGUGGCCCAGCAGAGGAAGCUGGGUGGAGAGAGAAGCAGGAGGCAAAUUAAAAGGGCACAAUAUUCUGAGAGCCAAGUAAAAAUGUUUUAAGCAGAGAGGUGGCGAGGGGGGUGAUCAAAUUGUGAAGUGUUGCUUAUCGAUCUAGGUACGGUAAGAAAAGCACUGAGAAUCAAAUAGUGCCAACCCCACAGAUGGUCUCUUUCCUCUCUUUCUGAAUUAUGAUGGCUUCUCUAAUGAUUCUUUGGAACUUGCGCCUCAAAGGAAUGACAAUGACUAAAGAAGUUGAGGAUCCUGUGGCGGUCACUGGGCUGUUCACAAACGCAUCUCCCAUUGUGGGCACAUGGUAGGAGUGCCAUGCUUAGAGAAGGCCACUCGGUUUCCUUUGCCAGUGAAAUGUAAGCUAAGGAAAGUUUGCCAUUCCUGGCAGGAGCUCUGAGAGCCAGGGAGCAGUCUGCCACAUUUCCUUGGCAGUGAGCAACUGUGGAAGCAUGUGCCGAGAGGAAACGUCUAUCAGCCAUGGUCGGAGUUGUUACAAUGAGCAGAAUCCCCUGCUGAACUUGGAUAGACAUCCAGUAUGAGAAAUAAACUUUAGUUUUAUUAGUUUUAUGUUGGGACAGCAAAACCUAAACUAUCCUGAGGACGCAAUGCCUAAAUACAAAAAUAAUAUAAACAGUGGUAUCCAGUCUCCAUUGAUAACCAGUAGAUUAUACAUUUCAGGAUACGAAAUUUUACUUUUCCACACCAGGGAUAGAGAAAAUCCAGCAAAUAACAUAGAUGAUAAAACUUGACCUCAUUGUAAGUUCGCUUUUUUUUGUUUUUUUUUUUUUUUUUGGAAUGGAGUCUCGCUCUUUCUCCCAGGCUGGAGUGAUGUAGUAGUGUGAUCCUGGUUCACCGCAACCUCCGCCUCCUGGGUUCAAGCAAUUCUCCUGCCUCAGCCUCCCAAGUAGCUGGGAUCACAGGCAUGUACCACCACGCCCGGCUGAUUUUUGUAUGUUUUAGUAGAGACAGGGUUUCACCAUGUUGACCAGGCUGGUCUUGAACUUGUGACCUCAGGUGAUCUGCCUGCCUCGGUCUCCCAAAGUGCUAGUAUUACAGGCGUGAGCCACCUUAUGGGAUCACUGUCUUAUAUUCAGUGUUCUUUUGACUGAAACAUUGCUAUGGGUGCAUGGCUAUAUUUGGUCUUUGUCCCCAGUUCCUGCACAGAACUUCUAAAACCGUUGACGUUUACUGAGAGAGGUGUCUUUUGUUCUACAUAAUGAGCCCCUUUUGAUCACACUUGAGUUUAUGCUAAUGAGGUUACUUAGGGUGGGGCCCCUGGAUAGACUCAGGCUCAGGCUGGUCAGCAGAAACACCUCCUGACCUUUGAGCUUUGGGGAGAGAGGGCAUCUGGAGAUCCAGCUCCAUAAAAUAAACUCUUGAAUGGUACGAUUUGGACAGCUCCCAGGUAGAUGAACACAGCGAGGUGCUGGGAGGAUGAUGCGCUCUGGGUGGGCGUGGAGCUCCAUGCACCUCCCCAUGCCUUGCCCUAUGCUUCUUUUCAAUUUGGCUCUUCCUAAGUUGUAGCCUUCAUCAUAAACCUGCAAAUGUAAGGAUUUUCCAGAGUUCUGUGAGCUGUUCUAGCAAAUUAUUUGAACCUUAAGCGGGCAGUGUGUGGGAGCCCCUUCGACUUUGUAGCCAAUAUGGACAGAAGUGAGGGUCACCGGUGGACCCAGUAUCUGUGACUGGCAAUGGAAGUGAGGCAGUCUUGUGGGACUCAGCCCUUAAACCUGUGGAACCUGACACUAACUCCGGGUAGUUAGUGUCACAAUUGAAUUGUAGAUACUCAAUUGGUGUCCGGAAGAAUCAGAGAAUUGGUUGAUGGUGUUGGAAAACACCCUACCAAUAUAACACUUAAGUUCAUUUUUAGCAUAAUAUCUGACUGGGUUUUCAGAUGUUUUAAUAUUAGAGAAGAAAUGGUGGUGUAAGAGACAAAGAAAUAACAAUUAUGCAUAAAAGAAUUUUAUUUAGUGGCCAGAUCCCAAUGAAUAAUGUCAGUCAUUGCUUGGUUCUGCUAAAAUGUGGUAUUAGAUAUAUUCUUAAGAAAGUGUACAAUUGCAUCACCAAAAGCUGUUUAAUUUGGAUUGUGUAGAAUAAAAGAAAACUACAUAA